RNAcentral lists this ribosomal RNA (954 nucleotides) under uncultured Hypocreales. RNAcentral describes it as "eukaryotic LSU rRNA". The stretch from base 312 to 954 matches the Rfam family "Eukaryotic large subunit ribosomal RNA", at positions 1 to 667 of the family's 3401-position model. The record is from RNAcentral. Lineage: Eukaryota; Fungi; Ascomycota; Sordariomycetes; Hypocreales.
AAAACUUUCAACAACGGAUCUCUUGGUUCUGGCAUCGAUGAAGAACGCAGCAAAAUGCGAUAAGUAAUGUGAAUUGCAGAAUUCAGUGAAUCAUCGAAUCUUUGAACGCACAUUGCGCCCGCCAGUAUUCUGGCGGGCAUGCCUGUUCGAGCGUCAUUUCAACCCUCAAGCACAGCUUGGUGUUGGGACUCGCGUUAAUUCGCGUUCCUCAAAUUGAUUGGCGGUCACGUCGAGCUUCCAUAGCGUAGUAGUAAAACCCUCGUUACUGGUAAUCGUCGCGGCCACGCCGUUAAACCCCAACUUCUGAAUGUUGACCUCGGAUCAGGUAGGAAUACCCGCUGAACUUAAGCAUAUCAAUAAGCGGAGGAAAAGAAACCAACAGGGAUUGCCCUAGUAACGGCGAGUGAAGCGGCAACAGCUCAAAUUUGAAAUCUGGCUCUCGGGCCCGAGUUGUAAUUUGUAGAGGAUACUUUUGAUGCGGUGCCUUCCGAGUUCCCUGGAACGGGACGCCAUAGAGGGUGAGAGCCCCGUCUGGUUGGAUGCCAAAUCUCUGUAAAGUUCCUUCAACGAGUCGAGUAGUUUGGGAAUGCUGCUCUAAAUGGGAGGUAUAUGUCUUCUAAAGCUAAAUACCGGCCAGAGACCGAUAGCGCACAAGUAGAGUGAUCGAAAGAUGAAAAGCACUUUGAAAAGAGAGUUAAAAAGUACGUGAAAUUGUUGAAAGGGAAGCGUUUAUGACCAGACUUGGGCUUGGUUAAUCAUCUGGGGUUCUCCCCAGUGCACUUUUCCAGUCCAGGCCAGCAUCAGUUUUCCCCGGGGGAUAAAGGCGGCGGGAAUGUGGCUCUCUUCGGGGAGUGUUAUAGCCCACCGUGUAAUACCCUGGGGGGGACUGAGGUUCGCGCAUCUGCAAGGAUGCUGGCGUAAUGGUCAUCAACGACCCGUCUUGAAACACGGACC